RNAcentral lists this ribosomal RNA (1343 nucleotides) under uncultured bacterium. RNAcentral's name for it is "16S ribosomal RNA". It matches the Rfam family "Bacterial small subunit ribosomal RNA", at positions 28 to 1378 of the family's 1533-position model. The record is from RNAcentral.
GACGAACGCUGGCGGCGUGCUUAACACAUGCAAGUCGAACGGAAAGGCCCUGCUUUUGUGGGGUGCCCGAGUGGCGAACGGGUGAGCAACACGUGAGUAACCUGCCCUUGACUUUGGGAUAACUUCAGGAAACUGGGGCUAAUACCGGAUAGGAGCUCCUGCUGCAUGGUGGGGGUUGGAAAGUUUCGGCGGUUGGGGAUGGACUCGCGGCUUAUCAGCUUGUUGGUGGGGUAGUGGCUUACCAAGGCUUUGACGGGUAGCCGGCCUGAGAGGGUGACCGGCCACAUUGGGACUGAGAUACGGCCCAGACUCCUACGGGAGGCAGCAGUGGGGAAUAUUGCACAAUGGGCGGAAGCCUGAUGCAGCAACGCCGCGUGCGGGAUGACGGCCUUCGGGUUGUAAACCGCUUUCGCCUGUGACGAAGCGUGAGUGACGGUAAUGGGUAAAGAAGCACCGGCUAACUACGUGCCAGCAGCCGCGGUGAUACGUAGGGUGCGAGCGUUGUCCGGAUUUAUUGGGCGUAAAGGGCUCGUAGGUGGUUGAUCGCGUCGGAAGUGUAAUCUUGGGGCUUAACCCUGAGCGUGCUUUCGAUACGGGUUGACUUGAGGAAGGUAGGGGAGAAUGGAAUUCCUGGUGGAGCGGUGGAAUGCGCAGAUAUCAGGAGGAACACCAGUGGCGAAGGCGGUUCUCUGGGCCUUUCCUGACGCUGAGGAGCGAAAGCGUGGGGAGCGAACAGGCUUAGAUACCCUGGUAGUCCACGCUGUAAACGGUGGGUACUAGGUGUGGGGUCCAUUCCACGGGUUCCGUGCCGUAGCUAACGCUUUAAGUACCCCGCCUGGGGAGUACGGCCGCAAGGCUAAAACUCAAAGGAAUUGACGGGGCCCCGCACAAGCGGCGGAGCAUGCGGAUUAAUUCGAUGCAACGCGUAGAACCUUACCUGGGUUUGACAUGGAUCGGGAGCGCUCAGAGAUGGGUGUGCCUCUUUUGGGGUCGGUUCACAGGUGGUGCAUGGCUGUCGUCAGCUCGUGUCGUGAGAUGUUGGGUUAAGUCCCGCAACGAGCGCAACCCUUGUUCACUGUUGCCAGCACGUUAUGGUGGGGACUCAGUGGAGACCGCCGGGGUCAACUCGGAGGAAGGUGGGGAUGACGUCAAGUCAUCAUGCCCCUUAUGUCCAGGGCUUCACGCAUGCUACAAUGGCUGGUACAGAGAGUGGCGAGCCUGUGAGGGUGAGCGAAUCUCGGAAAGCCGGUCUCAGUUCGGAUUGGGGUCUGCAACUCGACCUCAUGAAGUCGGAGUCGCUAGUAAUCGCAGAUCAGCAACGCUGCGGUGAAUACGUUCCCGGG